This 100-nucleotide small nucleolar RNA is filed under the name Sorex araneus (European shrew). RNAcentral describes it as "Small nucleolar RNA SNORA9 (ENSSARG00000019633.1)". The record is from RNAcentral. Lineage: Eukaryota; Metazoa; Chordata; Mammalia; Eulipotyphla; Soricidae.
UGAAAAGAAUCAACUUUAUAGUACUUGUGAGAACAUUCUGAAAUGCUUGAGGCCUUGCCCUGCUUCACCCAGAGCAAGGUUAUAGACAUUUUAGACAAGG